AUUAAGGGUUAACACCAGGUAUUCAAUGAGCUGCCUAGACCCUGUGGGGAAGGAGAUGAGGAGACGACAAUGAGAGGGUGGGGAGAUCAAACCAAAUACUAUUGUCACUGUUGCCCAAGUCACAGUGAUUUCCAUGGUCAGGGGCUGGGAUCUGGGACAUUCCGAUUUCUUACUAUGCUAUCAGUGAGGACUAGGUUAGCUCCUUUCCCCUUCCUGCCGCCUGUGCUUACCCCUACUGAGCUCCCCAUGAGGCCUCCAUCUUUUCUUCUUCCUGCCUCCUGUGCUUACCCCUACUGAGCUCCCCACGAGGCCUCUGUGUUUUCUUAGCCGUGAGUCUGACUCUCCACUGAACUCCAUUUUCAUCUCCAGGUUCAUUCCUUUGCUGGUGAUGUGCCAUCACAUGCUCCAACUGUACUUGCCACCAGGGAAAUUGGAACUGCCCCAUUCCUGGAGUUCUAGUGCUCUUGAGCCCCAGGCAUUCCAUGAGAGAAGCCUCCUUCUGGAAAGUCCCAUGAGCACCUCAUGCCGGGUGGUCAGACGUGCACCAAGGGCUGAUAGUGUGAAGUGGUGUGGGCAGGGGGAGACACAGACCCUGGGCAGGAAUCAAAGAUAAAGCUUCUAUCCACAUAACAGGCAGAUUGUCCAGAUGUCCCACGCAAGGGCCUGGAAGAGAUGAGGUUGCAGGCAGACCAAGGAGAAGGUGGAGGAAGGGAGGGGAGGAAGUACUGAAACAGAGCUCUUAGAAAGAUGUUCACUGCUGGGCAACACCAUCACCUCCUCUAGAAGGCAUGGAUAGCACCAAGUAAGUGUGAGAGCUUUGCCAUCACCCUUCCAGGCAAUUUGCUUUUAGUGUCUUUGUAACACUUGGAGUUUGCAUCUUACUCAAAAUCUCUCCCCGGUCUGCUUCCCUGGCAAAGUCUGUCUUGCUUUUUGCAUCUUUGCCCCCUCUAUAACUCCUACAUCCCUUAGGAACCUGGUCUUCCUGGGAAAGCGUCUUCCACACAUACCCCACCUCCACCUGCCAUCUCACCCGCUACACACACUCAAAAAUUCCCCAGCCCCUCAAACAGGGGGUAAGAGGAAUCCCUUAGGACAAAAAGGUGCAUCUCCUACCUGAAGAGCAACCUGGAUUCUGCAGACUGAGGGAGGCGGCUCUGCUUCAGGGCUCUGCAGUCUCUGAAGUAAAAUGAGAUUCAAAGCUGGGAGGAGAAGGGUCAUGGUCAGCUGCCCCUUCCACACUCCCACGCUGAGCCUCAGCAUCUCUCCUGCCUGAGUGGUAGCCCUGUCCAAAUGCCUAGGGCCUGGGCCGUUGAGGAUUAGGCCUGAACCCAGUAAUCCCCAAGGAGCUGCAGAAAGCCGACUUGAUGGGUCUCCUGGUGAUAUCAUUGCAGCCAGAGAGCACACACAGGGUGCAAGCAGUCAGAUGAGACAGCCAGGACAGGAGGGGCUGCAGCCCUUCCACAACACCACAAAGACCCUCACAUGCUCAUUUUGGCAGGGCGCAGUGGCUCACACAUGUAAUCCCAACACUUUGGGUGGCUGAGGUGGAGGAUCACUUGAGCCCGGGAGUUUGAGACCACUCUGGGCGACAUAGUGAGACCCCAUCUUUACAAAACAUAAAGUUAAAAACAUUAGCUGGGCAUGGUGGCAUUGCUCCGGUAGUUCCAGCUACUUGAGAGGCUAAGGUAGGAGAAUGGUUUGAGCCCAGGAGUUUGAGGCUGCAGUGAGCUAUGAUUGCGCCACUGCACCACUCCAGCCUGAGCAACGAGUGAGAUCUUGUCUAAAAACAAAACAAAACAAAAAGCUCAUUUUUAAAUGUUUAUUAUUUUUGUUUUUUGUUUUAAAUAGCGAUGAGUUGCCCAUGCUGGCCUCAAACUCUUGAGCGAGAGUGAUCCUCCUGCCUUGGCCUCCCAAAGUGCUGGGAUUACAGGUGUGAGCCACCACACCCAGCCAGAAAGUUCUUUUUAAAAGGGGAGAAACAACAGCUCCAGAAGGGGCUUUGAUAAAUUAUUUAAUUUAAAAAAAUCAAAUUAAAGUAAAGAGGGUAAAGAGCUGGGUGAAAGCGAGCUAGGUGAAGAGCUUGCGUGUCCAUCCUCCUGCCGAGAUGUGGUGAGCUUGCCCUCAUCCCAUCAGCUGGACAGCUCUCCACUGAGCCUACCCAUUCACCAUGAUUCUUGCUUUUCCUCAGCUAAGGCCCUGGGUGCAGGCUUAGCACUGUGGGGGGCCUCUGGGAUGAUGAGAUGUUCUCAUUAAUUCCUCAGGCAGCAGUGUUUGCAGUUGGGAGACAUGACUUCCAUCCCGCUCCUUAUAAAGUCAUAUGUUUUUCUUGAAUAAAUGCUAAAUCAAACUAGUCUUUCUGUUUUUUCCCCUCAAUUCAUAACCUCAUCAUUCCACAAAUAAAAUGAUGCCUUCAAAACCCACAGACUGUUUUGCAGGGUGGUCUGGGAGAGAUGCCGCCUGAGCCGGCCUAUGGCUCCAAACUCAUCGCUGGAAGAUCACAGCUGCCCUCUCCCCGGCCACUCUCUUUUCAUGAGGAAAGGUGAGCCCGGCUGCCCUUGGUCUCCCCCAGGCCUGCUUACAUUAAAGGGUUGGGAGUUAGCCUCCUGCCCUGAAAGGAAUAGGGGUUCUGGAGUAUCUCAGAUCCGUAUCAAAUCACAGCUUUGCCGCAUAAUUGCCCUCUGCUCUUGGGAACUUUCUCAACUUCUGUAAGCUUCUGUUUUCUUAUCAGUAAAAGGGAGAUAACAAUACCUAUCUCGAGGCACUGUUAUGAUAAAAGACCUGUCAUAAAAUAAAUGCUUAGAAAAUGGGAACUAUUAUUGUUCAAGUUUUAUUAUAUUUCCUCAAUCGUUAUUCUCUCCGUUUACAUAAUUGAAGUAAAACACUGCUCAUUAGAGUGUGCAGGUAAUAGAGGACUUGGCUUAAAUAAAUUUUCUGCCUAAAUUAAGUCUUUUAAAACCAUCCAUUUUCACUUUUAGGUCAUGGUGUAGAAAAUAAUUCUAGAUCAAGUUAGAAUAUGUUCCGACCUCAGCAAGCAACCACGUACUUUGAUUAUGUAGCACCCUUCAUUAUUCUAAGGAGUUCUCAUUAUACAGGAAGGAAGGGGAAAAUCACAGAGUAAAACCAGAUGCUUUUGUAAAUUGAUGAAGAUGUUUGCUGCAUGUGGCUCCAAGAGAUUGAAAUUAAAAGGGCAGGCUGGGUGCAGUGGCUCACGCCUGUAAUCCCCACUUUGGGAGUCCGAGGCAGGUGGAUCACGAGGUCAGG
Molecule: long non-coding RNA, 3261 nt
Filed under: Homo sapiens (human)
Lineage: Eukaryota; Metazoa; Chordata; Mammalia; Primates; Hominidae
Description: HSALNT0191719
Source: RNAcentral